This 337-nucleotide long non-coding RNA is filed under the name Solanum tuberosum (potato). RNAcentral describes it as "long non-coding RNA (STUB_LNC003282)". Lineage: Eukaryota; Viridiplantae; Streptophyta; Magnoliopsida; Solanales; Solanaceae. The record is from RNAcentral.
UUACGGCGAUUGCUCUUUCUGUCUUGCAAAGACAAAUGUCUAACGGUAGAGAGAAUAACAGUAACUCAAAUGGAUUUUCUUGAACGGGUUCUAACAGAUUUUUGGUUGAUUUUAUUAGUUUUGAUACUUAGGUCCUUUCAAAAAGAAAUUUAGGUCCUUUCAAAAAGAAAUUUUCAUGUCACUUCUGCUUUGAGUAGGGAUAUGUGUUUGAUAUUACAUUGGAAGGACUGAUACAUUUACCAGGUGUACCAAGUGAUUCUCAAGACCAAUGCUGAUAUCCUUGUUCUGCCGUUACAUUUUUAUCGGUGCUUUCUGUCUAAAUUCUUAUGUGAUCAUG